RNAcentral lists this long non-coding RNA (769 nucleotides) under Mytilus galloprovincialis (Mediterranean mussel). The record is from RNAcentral. Lineage: Eukaryota; Metazoa; Mollusca; Bivalvia; Mytilida; Mytilidae.
AUUCUUAUGACCUUUUUAGUAUUAUAACUGCACAUACACUGUGAAUAAGACACGAUUAUGUAUUUUUAUUUGCUCUAAACAUCUGUAUGACUAUUUGACUUAGUUUCAAAUUGAUCACCCAUUCAGUCUGGUUUUAAACAUAAUCCUUCAUUUCAAAUUGCCCGCAUUAAUAUCAUUUAUAGAUGACUACAUGAAAUGAAUAAGAAAAAUAUCGAUAUGGCAGUUCUCCUGGAUUAUAUAAAAAGCUUUUGGUUUGUAAGGCUUUUGAUUUGUUGCUCGUGAAAUAAAUAAAAAGAACAAAACAAAAUCAAAUGUAUGGCUUCCAUGGCUUCCUUGACAGUACGGUUGAUUUUUCAAAAUGAUAUUCAAAAUAAAAAAACAUAGCAAGUCCAUAUAAAUCAUAUAUUAUUAAGUAAUCAUUUCUUUGAUAACCUAUUUAUCAGGCUCAAUACUUGGUUCCAUUUUGUUUAUUUUGUAUAUAAAUUAUCUAUAAUUAUAUAUAUAUAAAGUGCAACACAGACGUAUAUGCUUAUGACACAACUAUGCAUACAUCAUGAAAGAGUAUUGGAGAUAUGCAGUUUGGCGUACAAGGUGAACUCCAAAGUGUUAAAAAAUGGUGUCGUGAAAAUAAAAAUGUUCAUAAAUUCGGAUAUAACGUAAUGUAUGGUUAUCGUUACAAGACAAAGGCUGAGUUGUUGUACUAAAAUGAGUUAGUAAAGAUUAUAAAAUUGAUGAAAAGUGCUCCAAGACUAAUUGUGUAUGCUGGACG